AUGGCUGUCGUCAGCUCGUGUCGUGAGAUGUUGGGGUUAAGUCCCCGGCAACCGAGCGCAACCCUUAUCCAUUAGUUGCUACGCAAGGGCACGUCUAAUGAGACUGCCGGUGACAAACCGGAGGAAGGUGGGGAGUGACGUCAAGUCCUCAUGGCCCUUAUGGUAGGGCUUCACACGUCAUACAAUGGUCGGUACAGAGGGUUGCCAAGCCGCGAGGUGGAGCCAAUCCCACAAAGCCGAUCGUAGUCCGGAUUGUUCUCUGCAACUCGAGAGCAUGAAGUCGGAAUCGCUAGUAAUCGCAGGUCAGCAUACUGCGGUGAAUACGUUCCCGGGUCUU
RNAcentral lists this ribosomal RNA (337 nucleotides) under uncultured Thiobacillus sp. Its description in RNAcentral is "bacterial SSU rRNA". It matches the Rfam family "Bacterial small subunit ribosomal RNA", at positions 1045 to 1382 of the family's 1533-position model. The record is from RNAcentral. Lineage: Bacteria; Pseudomonadati; Pseudomonadota; Betaproteobacteria; Nitrosomonadales; Thiobacillaceae.